This 814-nucleotide long non-coding RNA is filed under the name Mustela putorius furo (domestic ferret). RNAcentral's name for it is "lncRNA (ENSMPUG00000025649.1)". Lineage: Eukaryota; Metazoa; Chordata; Mammalia; Carnivora; Mustelidae. The record is from RNAcentral.
GAUUUUUCUGCCAUUCAAAGAUGUUCAAAAUGUGUCCACCAUUCAAAGACACGGAUCGCCCUGCAAAUGCCCCAGCAAGGCUCCCCGGAUGACCCCCGUGAUGGAGGGAACCAAACACCCCUCCAGAUUCUGACCACUCCUCCCUGCCUCAGAAGGAUCACCCUGCGGGUCCCCCCAGACCCCUGGAGGCUGGCGCCGGGGCAACCGCUGAUAGAAGAGACACCCUGAAGACCUGCCUUCCUCAUUUCUUCCACCAGGCUCAGCCCUGAGGCGUCAGCUGUGAAGGAGGGGCCCUGUCUCCCUCGGACGCUGGCCAGCCUUGCUCUGAACCUGCCGGGAGAGGACCUGCAGGCCUGGACCCAGGAGUGUCUGUCUGGGGAUGCGACCCCAGUAGAGCACCCAGGCAAGGAAUGUGACAGCCCUGAGAAAAGAGUGAGGUCACGGUCCGUUCCCGCGUCCUUCGAUGAGAUCAGCUCCCUGGAAAUCUCUCCAGCUUUGGACGCGCCCAGUCCAACUGCUCAAGGUUUGGAGCCCCCGGUGCUGGAGUGCAUGGAAAAGGACCACGUGGAGCCCGAGCACGUGUGAGUGUCUCCCUGACAGUGGGGCGGGGACCCCAGGGGACAAGCCGCGGGGUCAUGGCUGGGGUCCCACCCCAAUCCCCCAUAACCUGGGGCUUCUCUCCCACACCAUCCUUAUCCCAGAGGAGACAACCAGGCCUCUCAGAAGGGUUCUCAAUAAAGCAUCAGGGGAAACGGGUUGGGUCUCCCAGUCAGGGUCUGCAUCAGGACCAGGGGGCCCUGUUUGGGAAUCAUAG